GUGCCAGCAGCCGCGGUAAUACGGAGGGUGCAAGCGUUAUCCGGAUUCACUGGGUUUAAAGGGUGCGUAGGUGGGUUGAUAAGUCAGUGGUGAAAUCCCCGAGCUUAACUUGGGAACUGCCAUUGAUACUAUUGAUCUUGAAUACCGUGGAGGUCAGCGGAAUAUGUCAUGUAGCGGUGAAAUGCUUAGAUAUGACAUAGAACACCAAUUGCGAAGGCAGCUGGCUACGCGAAUAUUGACACUGAUGCACGAAAGCGUGGGGAUCAAACAGGAUUAGAUACCCUAGUAGUCC
This 292-nucleotide ribosomal RNA is filed under the name uncultured bacterium. RNAcentral's name for it is "partial 16S ribosomal RNA". It matches the Rfam family "Bacterial small subunit ribosomal RNA", at positions 505 to 796 of the family's 1533-position model. The record is from RNAcentral.